GCGUCAGUACUCAAGUGGUCGACGAGGCUGGUCUCCAAAACCAGUAGUGAAAGCUCACGUAGGUUCGAAUCCUGCCUGGCGUGCA
Molecule: transfer RNA, 85 nt
Filed under: Caudoviricetes sp.
Lineage: Duplodnaviria; Heunggongvirae; Uroviricota; Caudoviricetes
Description: tRNA-Trp
Rfam family: tRNA
About the family: Transfer RNA (tRNA) molecules are approximately 80 nucleotides in length. Their secondary structure includes four short double-helical elements and three loops (D, anti-codon, and T loops).
Source: RNAcentral